This 802-nucleotide ribosomal RNA is filed under the name uncultured Zoogloea sp. RNAcentral's name for it is "bacterial SSU rRNA". It matches the Rfam family "Bacterial small subunit ribosomal RNA", at positions 66 to 862 of the family's 1533-position model. The record is from RNAcentral. Lineage: Bacteria; Pseudomonadati; Pseudomonadota; Betaproteobacteria; Rhodocyclales; Zoogloeaceae.
ACGGUAACAGGGAGCUUGCUCCGCUGACGAGUGGCGAACGGGUGAGUAAUGCAUCGGAACGUACCGUGUAGUGGGGGAUAACGUAGCGAAAGUUACGCUAAUACCGCAUACGCCCUGAGGGGGAAAGUGGGGGACCGCAAGGCCUCACGCUAUAUGAGCGGCCGAUGUCGGAUUAGCUAGUUGGUAGGGUAAAGGCCUACCAAGGCGACGAUCCGUAGCGGGUCUGAGAGGAUGAUCCGCCACACUGGGACUGAGACACGGCCCAGACUCCUACGGGAGGCAGCAGUGGGGAAUUUUGGACAAUGGGCGCAAGCCUGAUCCAGCCAUGCCGCGUGAGUGAAGAAGGCCUUCGGGUUGUAAAGCUCUUUCAGACGGAAAGAAAUCUCUCGGGAUAACACCCUGGGAGGAUGACGGUACCGUAAGAAGAAGCACCGGCUAACUACGUGCCAGCAGCCGCGGUAAUACGUAGGGUGCGAGCGUUAAUCGGAAUUACUGGGCGUAAAGCGUGCGCAGGCGGUGAUGUAAGACAGAUGUGAAAUCCCCGGGCUCAACCUGGGAACUGCGUUUGUGACUGCAUCACUCGAGUACGGCAGAGGGAGGUGGAAUUCCGCGUGUAGCAGUGAAAUGCGUAGAUAUGCGGAGGAACACCGAUGGCGAAGGCAGCCUCCUGGGCCAGUACUGACGCUCAUGCACGAAAGCGUGGGGAGCAGACAGGAUUAGAUACCCUGGUAGUCCACGCCCUAAACGAUGUCAACUAGUUGUUCGGUGAGGAGACUCAUUGAGUAACGCAGCUAACGCGUGA